AAUUUCUUUGAGCUUUAAUUUUAGAAAAAACUUCAAAUACCACCCCUGUGGUUUUGUAUUUUCUCACUUUAAUACUCUGUGGAUUAAAAUGUAUCACUUUUUUAUCAUGUGGUUUUAUUUUUCUCCUUUUGUUAUCACGUUCACCAAUUUUUUUUAUUAAAUCAGUGGGCCAAAUUCAAACUAAAGUGAAUAUUCGAUAAAUCUAGAUGGAAUAUUUAAAGUUUUUUAUAUAUAAUUUAACGAAAUAUUAACGGAGAAGCUGGCGAAGAAAUAAAAAAAAAAAACCACAUGAUACUGAAUUGAUACAUUUUAAAAUACAGAGUACUAAAGGGAGAAAGUACAAAAUUAUAUAGGUGGUAUUUGAAAUUUACCCUUAACUAUAACUUGAUGAUUUUUUUGAUCAAAUAUUUAUUUAUUAUUAAAAAUUAAAAACUCCAAACUACACCAAGGAUCAAAUGGGAAGUAUUAUAUAAGAACGUGUGAAGGUAAAAUAUUUUAUUUGUUUUUGUAACAAAUAGUAACAGAUUUUGUAAACCAUAUUAAUUUGUUUAACAUAUAAUUUUUUUAAAGAAAAUAUAUAUCCUCCAUACAGUGUUGAAACUGAAAUAGAAAAUUUUCAGAUCGAGAUGAAUCUUUAAAAUUUACUUACGGAUUAAAUCACACGACUCACCAAACUAUAUCAAUAAUUAAUAAUAUCUCAUUAAAAAGUUUUUUUUUAAAAAAUAUAUAAAUUAUGCAUUAUGGGGAAGAGUUAGUGGUAGUUAGUUUGUGAUAAGCUUAGCGAAAUAACUAACUAGCCAAUCAAACGCGGCGACUCGCCACGUGGCAUUCGUGCCACGUGGCGCGCGCGAUCGCGCUUCGCGCCACGUGCCACGUGUACCAACCAAUCCACCAAUAAAAACCGGGACCAUCUCUCUCUCUCGCCCCCCCACGUAUAAAACCCUAGCUCGUGAUCUUCGCUUAUACGCCAUGGAUACGUAGUUUCCAAAUCAAGGGACAAGGGAACGGCCACGAUCACGACGAAGACGAAGACGAAGCAAUCGAUCACCGUCUCCAACGACAUGGGAGCUCUCUCCAAGCUUUGGUACUUAAUCCCUCCCCAUAUGCUGUUCCUAGGGCUUCAAUUCCUAUAUAAGAAGCUAAAGAUCCCACCUUCUAGUGCCGCAGUAGCUGCAACAAGGCACUCGCUUGUUGCAUAGGACCUCCGGGCACAAUGUCGCCCAUCGGAGUGAGGCUAUGCGUCGGGGACCUAUCGGUAUGCGGUAAUUUGAUGUGAUUUUGAUUGGUUUGGUGUUUUGGUUUUGCUUUUCUGGUGAUUUGGAGGGGAUUUUUGAUUUGUAGGUUGUGAUAGAUAAUGGGAUUUUCCAGUUGACGCUGUCGAAGCCCGACGGGAUCGUUACAGGGAUUCAGUAUAAUGGCGUCGACAACUUGAUGGAGGUUCUUAACAGAGAAGAUAACAGAGGGUACACAUUUUUAUCAAAAUUUGUGAUUUUUUGCACUACAGGUGAUCUAUUUAUGUGUAAACCCCCUGUAAAAUCUAAAUUUUCGUAUAAUGCAAUUGCGGUUUCGGACAUAGAUUGACCUAUAUUAUACAUAGGGAGUCAUCCAAAUCAUGUGGAAAAGUCGGUUUUGAAUGACGCUGAGCUCUUUACGGUUGCAUAUGAAAAUCGGGGUUUGCUGGGUCUUACAUGUAAAUCGUGGAAUUUUGUGCCGGCGCAUAUGAAAUGCUCUAAUUUGACUUGAUAUGGCAGGUAUUGGGAUCUUGUUUGGAAUGCACCUGGUGGACCUGGUACAUUUGAUGUGUAAGUCGAUUUCUUUCGACAUCUUUCGUAUCUUUAAUUGGUUUUUAUGCCAUAAAUUAUUUCCAAUGUUUCUGAUAUUCACAGUGGUGUUUUUCAGGAUUAAAGGUACAGAUUUUAGUAUAAUUCUGCAGGAAGAAGAUCAGGUUGAGGUUUCUUUUACUCGAAAUUGGGAUCCCUCCCUCGAAGGCAGGGUUGUUCCAUUGAACAUCGACAAAAGGUAAGUUAACAAUCGAUUAACUUCUCCUCUUAAGAGUUGACUCGCUAAGAAUUUGUUAGUUUUGAAUUUCAUAGGUUUAUAGUGCUACGCGGCUCUUCGGGGUUCUACACUUAUGCGAUCUAUGAGCACCAGGAGGGAUGGCCCGACUUCAGCAUGGGAGAAACCAGGAUUGCAUACAAGCUGAGGAAAGACAAGUAAUCAAGUUGCAACCUUGAUCCUUUGGAAUUACUGUACUUGAAGUUCGUUCAUUCAAUAUGAGCAGUGGAAUUCCAGUCGUAUUAAUCUUGAGCAUAUGAUAUUAAGUUGAUUUGUUAUGUUUUUUUAUCUUAUUCAGACACUACUUUGCUAGUAUUUAUCAUCUCUAUAUUAGUAAAUCUACUUUUGUUCGCUUAUGCUAUUAUAGAUUUCACUACAUGGCAAUAUCGGACAAUAGGCAGAGGAUCAUGCCCAUGCCUGAUGACCGCUUGCCUGCGCGAUCCCAGAAGUUAGCGUACCCCGAGGCUGUUCUUCUCACUAAUCCCAUCAACCCUGAUCUCCAGGGAGAGGUAAUUUAGCUCUUGAAUAAAGCUGUUCCCAAAAGCACUAAAAGCUUCUGCCUCGGUAUCCUCUCAAAUAGCUCUUAGCUGCAACAUAAGCAGAAGCUUCAUCUUUGAGAUUCGAAAGGUCAUUUUGACUUACUGCUGCAGUCCAAACUUUACGAGUUACCAAAUGACUGCUUCUGCAUUUCAAAGUGAAGCUCGCAUUGUGAACAGAUAAUCUGAGUAUUAAAAAGAUACAGCUGAUUCUAUGGUGUGCCCUCUCAGGUGGAUGACAAGUACCAAUACUCCUGCGAGGAUAAGGACAACAAGGUCCAUGGAUGGAUUUGUUUCGAUCCUCCGAUUGGAUUUUGGCAGAUCACACCAAGUGACGAGUUUCGAACCGGAGGGCCUCUCAAGCAGAAUUUAACUUCUCAUGUUGGACCCACCACUCUUGCUGUAAGUAAGAGUCUUUCUUCCUUUUCGGAGUUUCAUUGGCUCACUUUCUGACAAAAAAGAUACUUCAGAUACAGAACUACCAUCAGGCUUUAAUAUUUUAUCAGGAAGUUAUAGUACUGGGAUAGUAAACAGUUUCCUUUUGUGGAUUUCUUCAAGCUAUCUUCUUUUACGCCCUCUCAAUCAUGUGAUGAUCUGUGAUAUUGAGCGCUUUCUUUAAGUUAUUCUUCACAAUUCACAGAUGUUUUCGAGUGCUCAUUAUGCUGGGAAUGAUCUCUCGCCAAAUUUCAGAAACGGAGAAUACUGGAAAAAAGUAUUUGGGCCUGUUUUUAUGUACCUUAAUUCCUCUUGGGAUGGUUCAGAUCCAACUAUGCUCUGGGAGGACGCUAAAGUGCAGGUUACAAUUUAGCCUUUCAUUUUGUUAAAUAAGAAUUCUAGCGACAUGGAGGCUUCAUUUAUAAUGUAAUCUCUUGUUGUUGUACGUAGACGCUUCUAUAUCCUAGUAACAUAAAGGGCUAAUGUAAAAUUAACUGGUCCUUCAGUAAAAGUAGUUUUAGAACCUUGUGAGCGGAUUUAACAUUUCAAUGUUUUGUCGAUAAUUAGCAUGGUUACUAGGAGAAAGGUACCUUAUUUACAUGUUACUCAAAACAUUUUUUUUUUAUUCUUCUUUGUGAACUCAGAUGCUGAUUGAAGUAGAAAGCUGGCCAUACAGCUUUCCAGUUUCUGAGGACUUCCAGAAGAGUGAGCAAAGAGGUUCAGUCUGCGGAAGACUACUUGUUCAAGAUAGGUAUUAAUUCUUCUAAUCAUUAAAACCAAAUAAUGUUUCUUUACUCUUUUUCCAUUCAUUUAUGUAGCAUUAGAGCUCUAAUAUCUUUGUUUAUACUGGUUAAAUCCAUAAAUUCCCUUCCCAAACCCAUGUUGUGUGUUCUUUCUAUGGUUAUAAAUAUGAUUCACAUGUGGAAUUAGUACAAUUGAUGCACUUGAAAUCGUUCCUCAGGUACAUAGAUGACGAAGAUAUAUAUGCGAAUGGUGCUUAUGUAGGACUAGCCUUACCAGGAGAAGCUGGAUCAUGGCAAAGAGAAUGCAAGGUAAAAUCAACCUAGUAUUUUCUACUAAUAAUACUCCGACCUUUCAGUCCAGAAGAGAAUGCUUCCUACAGCAGACAAUUUCUCAGCUUAUAUUAAAAAUAUCAGGGUUAUCAAUUCUGGACUAGUACCGACGACAGUGGGUAUUUCUUCAUCAGCAAUAUCCUUACUGGCGACUAUAAUCUCUAUGCGUGGGUUCCGGGUUUUAUUGGUGAUUACAAAUAUGAAACAACAAUUACUAUUUCUUCAGGUUAGUGUCCUCUGGAUUGUUUCCUGUUGAAAACAUGUUUUUAGUAAAUACUUUUCGGGGAUUUUACUUCUAUAUACCCCUGCAAAAUCAUCUAUUUACAUGUAUAGCCUUGUAAAAUCUGAACACUCAGGUAUAAAUAAGCAUGGGAAGUGCUAUACCUGCAAAAUCAUCUAUAAUCAUCUAUUUAUAUGUGAAUAGAUAAUUUUGCAGCAGCAUGCAAAAUAAUUUCCUACUGUGUACGAAGGUUGUAUUGUUUAAUUUAACAGUUUUUAUCAUUGUUCAGGAGAUGUGAUUGAUCUCGGUGAUCUUGUGUAUAAUCCACCAAGAGAUGGCCCUACCUUGUGGGAAAUAGGCAUUCCCGACCGCUCCGCUGCCGAGUUUUACGUACCAGAUCCUAACCCUAAGUACAUCAACAGACUUUAUGUCAACCACCCUGAUAGGUUCGCAUAAGAUGACCAAAUUUCAUUUCACAAACCCUAAAUACAUUUUUCAUCUCCUUUUUGUCCAGUCUCAUAUUGAAUCUGCAAAUUGCCUUUACAGAUUUCGGCAGUACGGACUUUGGGAGAGAUACGCAGAGCUUUAUCCUGAUAGCGAUCUGGUUUUUACAGUAGGCGAAAGUGAUUACACGAUAGAUUGGUUCUUUGCCCAUGUUACCAGGUUAUGUUUCGUCAAAUUAUACAAAGCUGAUUUAUCAAUUUUUGAAAGUAAUUAUCGAAACCAAUCUAACCCAAUGUGUUAUUCUAGUUCAUAAUCUAUUAUAACUUUACAGGAGAGCUGAAGAUAACACUUACAAGCCGACCACAUGGCAAAUUAAGUUUCAACUCGAUAGUGUCUCGCAAAAUAGAACUUAUUUACUUCGAAUCGCACUUGCAUCUGCCGCUCUCGCAGAACUCCAAGUACUGUUUAGAUAUUCUGUUCCUUGUACUUUUACCUACAGUUUUUUCUCAUGAUGAACUGAUCACAUCAAAAUGAUUUCCCUGUCGAAGGUUCGCAUCAAUGAUUCUGCGGUGAAUCCGCCUCACUUCACAACAGGGCUAAUAGGGAGGGACAAUGCGAUUGCGAGGCACGGAAUCCAUGGACUGUAUUGGCUGUAUAGCGUUAACGUUCAAAGUGACUGGCUCAUCGAAGGCGAUAACACAAUCUACCUCACUCAAUCGAGGAGUUCGAGCCCGUUCCAAGGCGUUAUGUAUGAUUAUAUUCGAAUGGAGGGACCUUCGGAUUUUGAUUAGAACCGAAAAAUAAGUGCAUUAUUAGCUUCAUUAGUAGCAUGUUGAUUGUGUAAUAGAGGAGGUUGGACUCACCCUGAUGUUAUGUUUAAUUAGUGGCAUGUUUUCCUCUAAUCAAUAGAGAGUAAUAUGACUUAAGUAAUUAACCAACCAUCUUGCUCAAUCCAUUUUAUACAACAAUGAAGCAGCUUCACCAUGGAAUAAAUCUCUCCACUUUGAGGAUGAGAUCCAUCCCAGGAAACAAAUUUAUGAGCAUUUCCCCCAACAUGUACCAAACUAUAGCCACUCAUGACCUUUACCCCCUUCUCCUUCAUUAGCAAUCUCAUCCUUGCAGAAUCAUCGACAAAACCGCCCUUCGCGAGCAUGCUCCGCGCAAGCAAAUACCCUGCAGAAUUUGAGGGCUCGAGCUCGAGAACACGAGAAGCCGCCCCUCGACCGAGCUCGCAUUUGCCAUAGCUCCUGCAGGCACUCAACAAGGCGCCCCAGGCCGCAGGACCAGCUUUUACUCCUUCAGGCAAGUUCUCUGUUAUUUCCAUUGCUCGCUCGAUCUCUCCUGCUCUAGCCAACAUGUCGAUAAUGCAAGAGUAAUGCUCUAGCCCUGGCUCGAGAGAGUGGUCUAUCACCAUCCUUUCGAAACAAGAGAGGCCCUCCUUCACUAGGCCUCCAUGGCCACAAGCGGAUAACACCGCAAGCAUCGUAACUUCGUUGGGCUCCACUUUUUCUAGCUGCAUCUUCUUUAGGAAAAACAGGGCUUCCUCAGCGUGGCCGUUCAUUCCCAGCGCCCCUAUCAUCACGUUCCACGUUAGUACGUUUCUCUCCGGCAUUACGGCAAACACUUUUCUUGCAACAUCCAAGCCUCCACACUUUGCGUACAUGUCUACAAUCGCAGUGCCCACGGCUAAUUCGCCAGCCAAGUCGUUCCGGAUCGCCACGCCAUGAGCACAUUUUGAGAGCUUCAGCUCUGCUAAACUCGCGCAAGAUUCCAAAAGGCUUAGUAUGGUUACUGAAUUGGGCUUCUCUACUUCUUGUUGCCGCAUUUCGUUAAAGAACGCGAUCGCUUCAUAAGGUUUACCGCAGUGCGCACACCCCGCCACGAUAGUGCUCCAAGUGAUCACAUUUCUUUCGCCCAUUUCCUCAAACAGCUUCAACGCAACUUCAAUAAGGCCACACUUUGCAUAGGCAUCCAGUAACGAAUUCAACAGAAGAAUAUUAGACGAGAAUAGCUUCCGAAUAACCACAGCAUGAAUGCACUUGCACCAUAUUCCCUGCUCGAGCUUCUUACACAACUGCAACAAGGUCACUAAUGUCACCUCGUCACCUUCGAUCACGGCCCUCUUCACAGAAUCAAACAAUGCUAACGCUUCCGAACAUCUCUCGCUGUGAACGAAUCCAGAUAGCAUACUGUUCCACGAGACUAGGUUUCUCUCACCCAUUAAAUCGAACACCGCGUAAGCGGAGUCAACGUCGAGGCAUUUUGAAUACAUAUCGACGAGGGAGUUCGCCACAAAUUGAUCGGCCUCGAAACUCUUUCUAACAAUAAGUCCAUGAAUCGAUCUCCCGUACUUGAUCUCUCCUACACGGCCGCAACCUUGAAGAACACUAACCAUCGAAAGCUCAUCCACCUCAACUCCGCCUUCGCUGCACAUUUCCUUAAACAACCCUAAGGCGCGAACCGCUCGCUCGCUCUGCGCGUAGGCGCCGACGAGAGCGCUCCAAGAGACGACAUCUCUCUCACCCAUUUCGUCGAACAUCUUCUGGGCGGAACCCAAGUCGCCACAUUUCGCAUACAAACUCAGCAGCGAGUUCCGAACCGAAAGAUCAUGUAAAAAUCCAAUUUUUACAACAAAUCCAUGCACAUUGAGACCCUCUUCGAGGUCCUGAAGCUUCCAACAACCCUGGAUCGCAAGAACCAGAGUAGACACAUUGGGUUCGAAGCCAUGAACCCUAGCUCGCGCGAACAAGCCGAGCCCGGAAGCGGGGUCGCCGUGGCCGGUGAAGAAGCCGUGGAUCAUGGCGUUCCAGGUGACCGAAUCGCGAUUCGCCGAGUGCUCGAAGAGGGCUGCUGCGGAGCCCAGCAUGUCGCACUUGAUGUAGAAGCUGAUGACGGAGUUGGCGGUGGAAGCGCGGGAGGAAGAAGCCAUUUUGAUGGCGUCGGCGUGGAGCUGGGUGCCUAGGGUUAGGGACUGGGCGAGGGCGCAUGACUUGAAGAGCGUGGGGAGGAGAUCGGAGAGGAGGGAGGAGGGGAGAGGGGCCGUUCGCUUCGCCUCGCGGUAGCGGAGGAGGAGAGCUUCGUGGGGACGAAGAAGGGUUCGAGCGAUGGGAGCGCGCAUUCAAAGAUGAUGCGAACGGGAUUGGAGAGCCCACGUUACUACACAACUUCGUGGGCACUGGGCACCAGUUUUAGGGAGAUUCUUUUGAUCAAAAUUUGAAAAUUUUUUAUUCGGUUGUUUUUAAAUUGAUACUUUUAUCUUUUUUUUUAACAAACCUGUGAAUUAGAUGUCAAAAACCCCUCAGAUAGAGAUUAUGGAAUCUCUGACCCUAGAAACCAGGAUUUUGACUUCGAGUGUUGGUUGUUGUUGAUGAUAGUGCAUCCUCAGCUGCACACGUGGAACAGGGCUGUUUGGUUGUAUGUAGUUACAACUGCACUGCACGGUAGUUGUAACUAUAUGCAAAUAAAAAUUUAAUAUUUGAUUUGAUAUAUUUAACUCCAACUGCUGCUCUGCUGCAGAAGGAACUGCAGGGUUGAAACUACGCUUAAAUUAGCCGCUAUUCCAACUGUAGCAGUUGAAGAGAAUAAUUUUAAACAAAAGAUAAGUUACCUCCUUACUUAUUUUUAAACAAAAAAUAAUUUUUUUUUUUUUUACGUUGAAGGUAAUCUCACCAUCAUACAUAUAAAAUAAUAAAAUUUUAAUAAUUAUUUCUCAACUACAUGCAACCAAACAAAUUAUUUAUAAUUACAGCGAUUUCUACUACAUCCAAUAAAACAAGAUGCAUGUAGUUGUAACAGCUACAUAUCUAACUGCAUGCGUCUCCAACUACACUGUAUUUAUAAUUACAUCUAACCAAACAACCCCUAAAACACACAUACAAGUUACUCAAAACCCUCUGCAAUUUACGCCACAAUACAUCAACACUGCAUAACUUGACACCAUGUAAAAAGCAGCAUUUUGGCAGGCAUGUAACGAGACUCAAAAUUAUAUAUGAAAUCUCUCCGUACCCAGAUGGUCUAAUCAAGCGUCCAUUACGUGCAGUGCUCGAAUUUUAAAGCACUGUGAAAGGUGGGGCAUUAACAAAAAUAAAGUUUGUGCCAUUAACAGAUGAAAAGAGCUACAUCAACUUUCACCCAAAAAAAAAAAAAAAAAAAAAAAACUAGAGUCAAAUCAAAAUAGCUAGCUCCUUCCCUAAGAACACAUCGUGAUUUUAUUACAGUGAGGAGAAACAAGCAUACUGUACAGCAAAUACAACAUUAGAGUUAAUAAAAUAAAAAAUAGCACCUGAAAAGACAAAAAUUGCAGAGCGAUGCCGUCGGCUCACACUACUUGCGUAAGAAAACUAGCUUAUUUUUCAUAAAACGACACAAAAAUGAAAUUAACAAAUACGAGCUAAAUUUUGUCAAUUAAUGUGAGGUUACUUGUUCAUGUAGCAGCUCUGAAUGUAUGGGUUGUCGAAAUUCACAUACUUGGACCAAUAUGAAUUGUACUUUGUAAUAGCAAGAUCGAGCCACGGCUUGUAGUUCCCAUUGUAGUGAAUUACAGCAGCAUUCUUGAUCUGUGCGAGGUCUACUGCUGGAUCGUAGCCGAGCCCGAGCACGUGCCAACUGCGGUCGAGAGGAUACGUCAAGUUGUAGAAGGUGAUCAACCCCGGAGGCAGCGUUCCAAGCUUCCACAGCUUGCGGUCCUCAUUCUGAAGGUAAAAUGACAUUAUUAUCAGGGAUUUUGUCAGAAUAAUAACGCAAUAGGUAUUGAUCAUGACAGAUGGACAUACAUUUUAAAAGCUCAGAUGUCUGUGCUCGGAAUAGGAUCAGGUGUUGAUUAAUAACAACCAAAUUUUGAGAUUCAGUGUAAUCUUAGGCGAUAUUCAUAUUGCAUAGCUGCGACUACUAUACAAUUACUCACUUACACAAGUAUAGUAAUCUAAAAACAGAAACAAUGAUACCUAAUUAGAAGUCCAUUUUUGUAUUGUCAAGUCUUGAAUGAUCAACAGCCAAAUAUUUUUCACAGAGAAAAUAAAAUCUCCUGAUAUACAACUACCAACUAAUCCAAUAGAGUAAACUACGGAAAAAUAUAAAUGAUUGUAUAAUUAUCUGCUGAGAGACGAAAAAGAUAAGCUUAGCAUGCACUAACGAGAAGUAAUAGAUAAGAACUAACAAAACGAAGGAGCAAAAACUAUUGUCCUUUCCUUACCAAGUCUUGCCAAUAAUGAUAUAAUCCAGUGAUACUUUGCUUCUUCCAUUCCUUUAAAUCAAAGACAUUCAUCCCAAAAGCCCACCCACAAGCUCGUGGGUCGAAAUUCUCCGCUAUCUUCGGGUUUGAGAAAUUGAGAUAUGUAUCAAAACGAUGAAAGCUUUCUUUACAAGUUUCUACCGCACCAUUUACCAUCCCUUUCAUGUCCACCGUCCAAAGCUUUGUCAAGUCCUUCUGGACAACAAUAUCAUCAUCAAGAAACAAUAGCUUAUCUAGCUUUGGGUACACUUCUGGCAUGUAGAACCUUAAAUGGUUAAGCAUAGACAGAUACUUGGGAUUUCUAUACUUCAAAUUCUCGUUCCCAACAGAUAGCGAUGAAGGAUGACUUGCUUUAAAGUAGUAUUCCUUAAUCCUUGCAGAUUCAAGCUGGCGUAGGACUGAACAGUAAGAAGAAUUAAGCCACUUGAAUUCAUCGAUGUUUUGGACAUGAAUAGCUGAAGGUCGAGGAGGAUGAAUGAUGAACCACAUUCUCAUAGCCGCAAAAUUUAGUUUAUCUGUGACUACAUGGAAUACGUGUUUCUCUGGUUCCUUGGCAUUUAUCACCGUUGAAUUGACUACUACAGCUGUUGCAAGGACAUUGUCCGAGAAUAUAGCAUAGUGAUAGAGGGAAUUAUCCUCGAGCUUAUAUUUGUCUAGCAUUUCGUUUCUAGCAUGGUUAUGCAGGAAAUAAUCCGUUGUUAGCUGCAAAGGUAGGCAGUGUAGGGGUUUAGGAAUGGUUUUUGCAGCGUGCUGGACAAGAAACGUGUUCUGUUUCUUCACUGAGUUAAUAUUUUCUUCUGUAGAUUGAAGCAUAGCACGUAACUUCCUCGCCAGUUCAUUAUAGUCAAGUAGCACAUCUUUCGCCAUGGAUAAAGCACGCCCCAUUGCUUUUGCUUGUUCAAGAGCACUAAAUAAGUAGGAGAGAAUAAGUUAUACCAUUAUCCACUAAACCCACUAUAAGCAAAUAUAUUCUUUGAACAAAGAGAGAAUACCUCGUGUGAAGUUCAUUAUCAGAAUUAGCAUCAGUAAUAAUGCCUCGACUUUCUUUGAUAUGCCUCAUAAGGGAAUCAUAGAGAUUGAAAUCCUUCUUGGAACGAGCUAUGCUAGCAUAUAUCUUUGCCAUUAUGAUUUGAUCUUUCAUGAGCUUCAAAGUGGAAUCCGACUGUGGAUUGCGAUAUUCGAUCCUCCAGAUACUAUACCUAUCUUUCACUUUAUUGACAAAAUGCUUUGUGCGCUCAAUGGCUGCAUUUCGCAUCCGGAGUUCAGUGUCUCUACUCAUAUGAAUCAGCUCUGCAGUUCGCUUUUCCUUCCUUUUCUGCCGCAGAUACUGCAAGAAAGAGCACAUCAGCAAUGAUAUCCGGAAGGUUGUCAGGGACACAGAUGUAUUUUGAACUUUUCAAUAGUGAAUGUGCUGGAGUUCUUAUGUUUGUCUUGCCUAAUUUCAGAUAAACAUGACUCGUGAGUUAUGACUCUUUUUUAAAAUUAACCUGAGGGAACUUAUUGAAAAUCACCAAAAAAUUAAAUUUCUGAGCAUUCACAUGUUUCACAUACAAGUAGUAGCUUAUUUAUUACAGAUAACAAACCACGGUAUAAUUAAUAUUGGACAGAUAAAUUGUUUUGCAACUGGAGGUCAGCACUCACUUAGAAUAGGUCAUUGUACCGCAAGUAUCUUCUUUUAUUCAGGAGAACCCAACCGUGCCCAACAAAGUAAUAAAAAAUGUAAGAACAUGCAAAUGUAACAAGAGACUGACCUGACGCUUGAGCUUGGCAGGAUCAAACUCAUUCAUUUCUUCUUGAUUUUGAUCACGAGAAGACUUAGUGCUUCCUUGUGGUCCAUUUAGAACAUUCUCUUGUGUUCUAUUCACAAGUUGUUCAUUUGAAGCUUCAUGCUGUUGUCAAUUACGGAACAAAAAAACAUGAGGCGCUCGCCAAAGAAGAAAGCAAAUGGGAACACAAAAUUCUACAAGCGGCCCCUAAAACUUUUGUCCACACAAUACAAUUGUGAGAGUUCUUUUCGAAAAUUUGAUGUCCGCAAAGCUAGAAAUGUUAGUUUACCCAUCCAUGGGAACUAAUAUUCAAUGUCUGCAAAUCUAGACAAUGUUAGUUUCCACAUACUCGGGAUCUAAUAGCAACCAAGAGAAGCAGCUAGUAGUUUGGUGAUCUAUCGUCAUUUAUGCCCAGAGUACAGAUAAAGUACUGAUAGGAUGUAAAACGUGACGUACAAUUAAUGAAAGCAGAAUAGAAAGCAGAACAGAAAAAAAAUUACCUGUCUAACCACCUUCUGCGCGUGAUUUGUAGAGAGCGAAUUCUGCCAGAUCCAGGAAGAUGAUAGCUCCCUGGAGUUAACUUCAAAUGUUUUGAUCUUACCAGAAGGAUCAGUGUACAUAACAGUAAUAUCAACACCCUGACAAAGUUUGAAGGGAUUAACAUGUUCAAAAUCACCACUUUGGUUUGAUACUAAGUAUUUUGCUCAGCUCAUUCAUUAUUGGAAGUCAAGUUGACCUUCUGAACUGCUUGCUCUGAAAUGAUUUUCGUGAUGAACUAAUGUCAAUCAAGACAAAAUGCAAUAGUCGACAUCCUAUAUCUAUCUACAGCAUUAUAUGCUACUGAAGAGCUAAGAUUCAUACUUUCAAUCACAAGCCGCAAACAAACUAUGUUUUAUACAUCUAUCAUUCAAGUCAGUCAUCAACAUUUAAAGAAAAGAAAAAUUUUCAAUCGAUCUAAUAAUGUAUGCUUGGAGCAUCAGUAGGAUUUUAUUCAAGUUAAGGGUGAGUGUGACCCUACAUAAAUUAUUCAGUUGUCUGCGAUUAUCAGUGAAGAUGACUGAAUCUUAACUGUCAUAAAACAGACCAACAGCUAAGUGAAAUAACAAAAGAGAAAAGUGUGAAACCUGUUCACUCUCACAAUUCGAACAAUUUUGUGCCUGCGCAUAUUCUUCAACAUCUUUCUCACUGGAAAAGACGAUGAGAGCAGUUACUCAGGUGCUCAAUUAAGGAUCUAAACCUUUUCAUUAUCUCUGAUAUUUUCACCAAAGAAAGCACAUGGGUGAAAUUCAUGCAAAAAAAUUAUGUCUAACUAUCUAACAGUAUAAUCAAAUGAGAACUACUUUUUUCGAAUGGAAACUGAGAAACAAGAACUAUUUUAGAAAUCUAAAUUGCCAAAUUAAUACUUCAUUCUUUAUUAAUAGCUGCGCAAGUUACAGGUCUUCAUCAGCGGUCAAGACAAAUCAAUCUACAACCAGGCACAUGUGAAUUAUGCGUAGUACAGCAUAUCUUAGAUGUAAAUCAUUGGGUGGUAAAUUGCAUAAUAACAAAUUUAAUAGGCAAUUAAAAGAGCACUUCUCCAAAGUCUUAUGGCCCGUGUAAUACGAGAAGCACCUACCAAGCACACAUGUAUUCUACUACAUUAAAGGAGGGUUUGGGGUAGGGAUGUCAAUGGGUAUGGAUACCCGAAAUUUUAUCUGAACCCGAAUCCGAAUAAAAUGGAUAUAUCCGAUACUAAAUGGAUAUGGAUUUGCAUAUGGAUAUCAAAAAUAAAACCCCGACAGAUAUGGAUUUUGACUAUACCCGAUCCGAACCCGAACCCGACCCGAACCGAAUCCGAACCCGAACCCGAAUUUAUUUUGUAUUAUAUAUAAUAUAUAUAUAUAAAAAUUUGAUGUUAUAUUUGAAUUUGUAUUUUAAAAAUUUAGAUUUAAUAUAAUAUAUUUUGAAAUAUUGAAAAAAAAUAAUUGUUUCGGGUUCAAAUUUUCGGGUUCGGGUUUCAGAUUUUUGGUCGGGUUCGGUUGAAUGGAUUUGUUAAAAUCCGUCGGUUCGGGUCCGGUUUGGGUCUCGGGUUAGAGUCGGUUCAGGUUCGGUGUUGAAAAUCCGCCCUAAUCCGACGUUAACAUCCUAGUUUGGGGGACCGUAGGGUGGACACGUGUCCCCAAACGCUCCCCUACUCUCUCUCUCUCUCUAUAUAAAAUAAUAUAUAUAUAUAUAUUAUAAAGAUUUAAAUUUUUGAUAUUAAAUUUAAAUUUUGAUACUUUCAAAUUUUAUAUUUUUAUAUUUAAAUUCUAAAUUUCAAUUUUAAAUUAUAAUAUUUAUUUUCAAAUUUUAACUUCAAAUUAAAUUUUAAAUCUCUAACUCUAUAAAAUUAAUUAAUUAAUUUUAUUAUAUAUAUAUAUAUAAUAUAAUUAAGUAUUUAUUAAUAAUACCGACGUAAUAAAAUCUAACCUGAUAGAUGCAAUUUAAAUCACGUAAAAUAUUGCUGAAAAAAAAUACAGAAUUUAAAUUUCAGGAGUAAAAUUUUAGAAAUAUAGUGUAUGUGUGUAUAUAUAUAUAAUUAAUUUUAUUAAACAAUUUCUUCUAUAAUUUUAUUUUCCUUCUAUUUAUUGAUUUUUUUAAAAUUAUUUUGAUAGAUUUAUCUCAAAUUCUUUCCAUAUAAAUCUUUAUAAAAUAAAUUGUUGUAUAAAUUUACUUUGCGCAUAUACUAAUUUUAAUGACUUUUAUUAUUUAAAUAGAUUUAACUAUUAAAUCAUUUUUAUAUAACUUUUAUUUAAUUAGUAAUUAGACUUAUAAAACUAUAUAAAAAUAUUAAAAAAAUAAAAUUUAUUAUAAAAAUAUUUUUAUAUCCGUAGCAUCGUGCAGGUAUUUCACUAGUAUACAAGAAACAGGCUUAUGUUGACAAUGAACAGAAUGAACGGAAUCUACUACAAAUCAACAUUCGAUAACAGCAUAUGGAAGUAGAUUUCAAGGAACUAAAAAAGCAACAAUGGCAUAUGUUGCCUUGAAAUUGUGGUAUACAGUAUUAAGGGAGACCAGCAAAGCCAAUGCCUGCAAGUUCUCUUACGUUUUGGAUUUGGAGAACCUCCUCAGAAAUAAUAUAUCUGAUAAAUCUGAGUGAACGGAGGAGACUAGCAUCAUAGCCUGCAUAAUGCCAAAGUAACGGUGAAAAUAGACAAUACAAUUACUUAAACACAGACUUCAAUCACAUAUAAAUGAUUCAAUCAAAUCUCGUUAGUUUCCUGAAUUUAAUUGGAAAUUGAAUGAAAUUCAUCAAUAUCGACAACCCCAUUAACUAUCGGCCAUUAAUAGUUCACGGAACUCGUACUUCCAUCGGUCGAAAAAGGUUUAGAAACAGCAAAAUUUAAAAAAAAAUCACAGUUAGAUUUGAUAAAAAACCCCAAUUUGAUUGACCGGACACGACAUAGAUUGAAAGAACCAAAAGUUAAUAAAGUGCCAAUCAAAAGAAAAUCUGUUCAGCAGAUUCUUUUCCAAAGUGGUCUAUAAUUGCAGGGGUCUCCAUACAUUUUCUUUGACCAAUAAUAAGAGGUCCUUUAUUCAAUCUAACUCCAGGUUAAGUAAGAAACUGACGAAACCUCACAUUUACACUGGCUCUAACAUACUACAAUCCUCCGAACUAUCAAAUUCGUGCGAGUAAAAUCACUCAAGGUAAAUGCCAUUCUUAAAACCACAGAUGAAACCCUAGAAAUGCCCGAUCAAACAAACUCCUCCCAAUCACAAUGCGUUAUCACUCAUCGAACUAGUCCAAAACCUGAUAGCUAAAGAUGGAGAUCAUAGUAGUAGCGAUGGAGAUAAACAAGCACCUCAGAAGCAAAUCAAAUCGAAUCUAGUUCUCGAAUCACAGACAAAAGAACAAAUCGAAUCAAAUCGAAGCACGAGAGGCUAAUUCUCGUACCUGAACGGAGAAGAGGAAGAGCGUACAUCGCCCGGUCGAGAAGCUUCUGGACGAAAUCGCCAUUGCCGCAGCUCGCCAAGCACCGAGAGAGAGAGAGAGAGAGAGAGAGAGAGAGAGAGAAGAGGAGGGGAUCGCACACGUCGUUGGGAAGCGUGCGACUCUACCGGGAAGUGGGACGAGAAGAGGGGCGCGGAGUGGGGGGAAGGACACGAAACUCAAAGCACACGUGUAACGUCGAGAUUACUCGCGAUCGACGCCGGGGGGCGUAAUAUUUUCCCUGCACCGAGGCGUACCGCGUCAGCCGUAAACCCCACCCGUUGGAUCACAGUACACGUGUCAUGUCGAGGAGGUGGAGGAUGGAUACUGAUAUUCGAAAUUUUAUCCAAAUCCGAAUUUUGAGUGGAUUUAUUCAAUACAAAAUGAAUAUAGUUUUAAAUAUGGAUAUCAAAAAUAAAAAAUCCAACGAAUAUGAAUUCGGCUAUAGAUUUUGAUGAUAUCCGACUUGAAUCCGAAACCGACCCAAAUCCGAAUAUAUAUAUAUAUAUAUAUAUAUAGUGAGGUUACUAUGCUAUCGGAAGCACGGAGCCUUCCGUGCUUCCAGCUCGUUUUCGAUGUUGCGGCUUUCAAAUCGUCGAUCGGCUCCGUUAAACUUGAUCUAGAGUAUUUGAAGUACCUAGAAAAUAAAUUUUAUGAUUUUACGAUAUCAUUUGCCUAGUGAACGAAGGGGCUCAAAAUCAACGGCUAAAAAUAAAAAUCUUACAAAAUGUAAUAAUAUGACAUUAAAAUUUUAAAUCAAAGAUAUUGAUCUUGUUUUAUAUAGUAUAAAGAAUUUUCUAUNGGGUACAAAGGUGCUCAGCGAGGGGUACGUUUUGAGCCCCCGCAUGUGGCACCUAUUUUCAUGUAAUGGCACGGGCCAUUGCUAGGGAAUUGCCUCCGUUGACUUGACAGCGACCCCCAUCUAACGGAACGCCUCAACUCCGCAACUCCAUAACUUCGUCAACCCAAGUGCCUGCCAAAUGUGGCCCCCAAAGGUGUCACGGUCGAGUCCCAGCGAUCGACCCGUGACAGGCUCCCCCACUUGAACCAUCGAUGUCCUCGUCGAUGCUCCAUCACUUCUACAAUCUCCGAUAGCAUUUAUAGAUAUAGUAGAGCUAGACUGGUAUACUAUCAGAAGCAUUUAUAGAGGAUCUGGUGCUUCUGACUUUUUGGCUCUUAGAUCAACCUCUUUGAUCAUUUCUAACCAUUGGAUUAAUACUCAACCCCAUGAGUACUAUUCAACUUUAGGGGGUACCACAAUUAUCCCAACCAUAUAAUUCUUCAUCCAAGGGUCAAAAAGUUGGAAGCAUCUAAUACUCUAUACUUUCGAUAGCAUAGUAUCUCUACAUUUUAUAUAUAUAUAUAUAUAUAUAUAUAUAUAUAUAUAAUUUGAUGUUAUAUUUGAAUUCGUAUUUUAAAAAUUUAGAUUUAAUGUAAUAUAUUUUAAAAUAUUAACAAGAGAAAUAAUUAUUUCGAAUUCGAAUUUUCGGGUUCGAAUUCGGAUUUUGGGUUUGGAGUUAGGUUUGGAUUAUGAGUUUUGAAAAUCCGCUCCGAAUCCAACCCAUUGACAUUCCUAAGGAGAUGGCCUACUAAAUCUAUUUGGUAGUUGUUUUACGUUAUUUAUAUUUUUAAGCAAAUCAAAUUGCUCUUUUUUUUAAAAAAAAGGUAUAAUAAUUUUUUUUUUUUAAAAAAAACAUAAUCUUAUGGGUGAAUUUUAAGAAUAUAUUUUAAUUGAUUGGAGAUAUAUUACAUAUCGUCACUCACACCCAUAUUCCAAACUUUUUCACAUUAAUGAGAUAUUAGUAUAUUACUUGCCUGAGAGAAUUUAUUCCUACACCAGGUGUACCACGUCCGCCCAUAAUUUUUUAUUAAAAUGAUGUUGUAAAAAAUAUUUGUUACUCUAAUUUUAUAUCAUAGACUUUCUCGUAAGAAAUUUUUUUAAGAAAAAGUCAUAAGACGGAAAAGUAAAAAAUGUGUUAAAUCAUAACAAUGCAACGGAAUGACAAAAAUAAAAUAAGGUAAAUCACAGAAAGGUAAAGUACAGUUUUUUUAACUACAGGAGGGUAAAGUAAAAAUGAGAUAAACCAAGGAGGGGCAAUUGGAUGUUUAUCCCUUUCAUUACCCAAAAGUGAGAUGAGUUGAAAUGAACUCAAAAGGAGGAUCAAGCUAAGCUCAUAAUAAGGCAUCAAUAAAAGCAAUUUAGUCCCACUAAAUAUAUAAAGGGUAAACUUAAAAUACUGCUCCUAUGAUUUGGCACUUUCUCACUUUAGUAUCAUAUAGUUUAAAGUGUAUCAAUUUAAUGUCAUGUAGUUUUAUUUUUCUCUUCUCGUCAGUCUCUCUGUUAACUUUUCGUUAAAUCAUAUAUAAAAAACUUCAGAUAUCCACCUAUAGUUUAUCGAUUAUUUACUUUAAUACUCUUUAGUUUUAACUUUGUCAUUAAUUUAACGAAAAAAAAAUUAGUGAAGAAAAUAAUAAAAAAAAUAAAACUAUAGAGUACGAAAAUAAUACUUUUUGAACCAGAGGGUAUAAAGUGAGAAAGUGUGAAAACAUUAAUGGUAUUUAAAGUUUUCCUAUAUAUAAACUCAUAUUCCUCUUUUAUUAGGGAUCUACAAGCACAAUAAAUGUUCUCUUUGGUCUUUAAUUCAUCCUCUCUCUCUCUUCAUCAACUUUUACUCUCUCACUUGAAUCUCACUUUGCUCUCUUGAAUCUUGACUCCAACACACAUACUCUAGUUUGUGAACAAGUGGACCAAUAUAAACACAAGAAGUGGGAAUGAAUGGAAACACAUGGUACAAAAGCAUAAAGAGAAGUGGGAUAUAGUUGGAACAUAGCACAAAAGCCUUUAGAAAAGGUGUGAAUAAGUGGAGACAAAAAAAGUAAUUUCAUCACCUCCACUUUUUACAUCAUCAAAUUAGCAGCUACAUUAUACAAUACCUUCUUUUCCAUUAAAAGAUUACAUUUUUCGCAAUCAAUAUAAGUAAACCCAUUAAAAGAGAAGAAAAAAAAAAUCGAUUUACAAAAGCAAUUAAGUCGAAAAUCAAAUCACAUUCUCAUGUUAAUCUAGUAGGUUGCUUGCCCCCCGCCGCCUGGUUUGGAUUCCUCGGCGAGCGGCCGUGCUUUCGACCCUGCGAGGGCUCGUCUUUGGACUCCCUCAACUUGUUACUCUUCAUCGCCUCGAUCUUCUCGAGAGUCUCCACGACUUCUUUCAUAGACGGCCGGCUCUUGGGGUCGCCGGAUAGACACUUCAGAGUGAGCUGCGCGGCGUGGAGGGCGCCUUUCGAGUGGUACUGCCCCUCGAGCCGGGGGUCCAUCAGCCGGGCCAGCUUUCGCCGGUCGGCCAAGUACGGCUUGGCCCAGUCGGCCAGGUUGUGCUGCCCGCUAGGGCGGGUCGGGUCCAGGGCCCGCUGGCCUGAUAGCAUCUCGAGAAGCACAACACCGAAUCCAUAUACGUCGCUCUUUACGUAUAGAUGGCCUAAUAGAUUGAAAUCACUUGUAUUAGGUUAAACUUAGGCUCCAAAAGUAGAAGCUCUAAUUUGAAGCUUCUUUUUCUAGCUGCAGCAAGAAGCAGCCGUCGCAAAAAUUCUAGUAAGCCCUAAAGUUUUCGCAAGCUCCAGGGACAAAAGAGUGGGGGAGAAUAGUUCUCAAAUUUCGACAGCAUGCCCACAUAUGCAUCAUACGUAAGCCUUGGACCGCUAUUCGUGAUCGGCCACUUACUACAACAGUUAGCGAGGUAUCGCCUGGUACCCCACAGAGACCCGCAUUAGUACGAUGAAAUAGUAAAUCUUAGUGAUCUACUGCUCCACCAACAUAUCUAAUGAAAUCGUAAAUAUCCCGUCAACUAGUGGAGGAGUUCGUACCGGUGGCGACAUACUCUGGCGCUGCGUAUCCAUAGGUGCCCAUGACUCGUGUGGUGACAUGCGUGUCCCCGCCGGUCGGCCCGAGCUUCGCGAGGCCGAAAUCGGAGAGCUUCGCAUUGUAGUACUUCGCGAGAAAUUACAUCACAGGAUUAGACAAUUGGUUUAGAGCAAAGACUGAAAGAGUAUUAAUAGAGAAGCUUACCGAGUCCAAGAGGAUGUUGGAGGCUUUGAAGUCCCUGUAGAUGACUUGUUUCUCGGAUGAAUGAAGGAAAGCGAGGCCUCGAGCCGCGCCUAUUGCAAUCUUCAAUCUGAGAUCCCAUGACAGAGGCUCAAAAACUACCCCUCCUGUCCAAAAAGGGUGUAUAUAUCGUAAAGAACACAAUCAAACUAGCGAUAUCACAUAAAUCUCAUUCAUUUUAGUACAAAUUUACGAUAAUCGAGAGAGUUUGAACUGUUCUUAAUCAUACGACUCACUUCGAAAGAGUUGAUUCUCUAAGCUUCCUUUAGCCAUGAACUCGUAGACAAGUAGAAGCUCCCUGUCUUCCCAGCAGUAGCCCAAGAGUUUGACGAGGUUGGGAUGCGAAAGCCGCCCCAGAAAAUUCACCUCCGACUGCAAACCGACAGAAACAAAAGUGUUGCACAAGAAUCAUUUCUAACCCUUCUCAAGUAAAUUUUACCCAACAUUUAAGUUCAUCAAUCGAAACAUUAUGGAAUGAAUAGGAAUUAGAGAUAAUAAAAGGCGCUCAAUAACAUAGUAAGAUCGCGAAACAACACAAUUUUAAGUCAAUAAUUACCGAAUUAACUAAAAGAGCCAAAAAAAAACAACAACAACAGUAGGAAUCGGCGAUCACCUGCCACUCCUCCAACCCCUGCAUGCUCUCCGGGUUGAGCUUCUUCACCGCGAUUACCAUCCCAAGCCCGGUCUUGACCGGGUUCAUUGUCCUCUCGUCGACCCACCCUUUGUACACCUUACCGAAUCCCCCCUCCCCGAGCACCGUGUCGGCCUUGAAGUUCCGCGUUGCGGCCUUCAAUUCCGCGAAGGUGAAUAUCCGAAGGUUCGGCACCUCGAGGAUUCGGCCCUCGGGGAAGACCUCGUCGGCGCUUACGCCGAUGCCGCCGCUGCCGCUCCCUGUCGACUGCGGCCCGAAGGUGCUGCCGCUGAUGGUGGAGAGCUUACCAGUGGUUGCUGUACUACUAGUGGUUUUAGAUGCUGAGGGCCCUUAACAUAUAUACCCAAACAAAAAGGGGCAAAAUUGAGUUGGUAUUGUUUAUCUUUUUCCCCCCUUUAUACUGCUUAAAGAUGAGUACAAACUAAAAUUAUGAAAUUUUUAGCUACAGAUAUCAAAGAUCCAUUUCAGAUAAACAGGGAUUAUAACAUGAGAGCUAUAUAAAACUAAAAUCAUGAAAUUUUAGCAGGAGAUAUCAAAGACCCAUUAUAUUUCAGAUAAAAAGGGAUCAUAAUAUAGGAACUAUAUAAAUGUGAUGAAAUUAUGAAGAUAAAAAGCCUAAUAGACCCACUAGAACUGUAAAAUGAUACUCUUGAGAUGUAAAAAUCCAAAAUUUCCCUUCAAUUUGUGAAGAAAAGGUGGGAAAUUUCAGAACCCAAAUGAUAAUUAUGCAAUCAGAGGUGCCCAACAAGGGUGUAUGAAAUGAAGGGAAAAAUUGUUUCUUUUAGUCCAAAAUUAAGCACAAAUUAUCUAAUUAAAAAAAAAAAAAAGAAACCUCUCAUAAAUAAAAAAGAAAAAAAAAACAAAAACAAAAACAAAAACAAAAAGAUCUCUUUUUUUUUUUUUACCUGGACUAGAUGGUCUAGUGUUCAUUGGACUAAAAGAAACAAGAAGAGAGCCAAAGCAAUUCCCCAUAUCCUCUCUCUCUCUCUCUCUCUCUUUCUCUCUCUCUCUCUCUAAGCUUUAAGCUCUAAGCUGUGAGUUGUAUAGAGAACAAAGAGAGAGAUUUGGAGAGAUGGAGAAAGAUGGAGAGGAAGGAGAGGGGAAUCUAGAGAGAGAGAGAGAUAGAGAGAGAGAGAGAGAGGGGAAAGAUGAUUUUUUUUUUCUUUUUGUUAUUUAUUUAUGUGCCUAAACUAGAACAACUUUUUUUUAUUAUUUUUUCUCCAAAGCUUGGUUUUUGGCUUUUUUUGUGUUUUUUAGUCUCCAAGUCAAAAAAGUCUAUUUGGUACAAAUCCAAGGGAUGGGGGACUCUCAUGUGUUGUAAAAUUUCUGUGAUGAUUUAUUUGGCUGAUGUAAGAAAAAUAAUCUGUUUUUACUAAUUUAUUUUUAAAAAAAUUUUAAAUAUCAUCACUAUAAUUUCGUAUUUUCUUACUUUAAUACCCUAUAAUUUAAAGUAUAUCAAUUUCGCAUUCUAUAAUUUUAUUUUUCUCUUUUUGUUAUCUUCUCUACUAAUUUUUUUAUUAAAUCAGUAACAAAAUUAAAACUAAAGAGUACUAAAGUGAAUAUUCGAUAAACUAUAGGUAGGAUAUAUAAAGUUUUUUAUAUAUGAUUUAACGAAAAGUUAACGGAGGGGUACUAAAUUAAUACACUUUAAAUUAUAUGGUACUAAAAUAAGAAAGUGCGAAACCACAAGAGUGGUAUUUGAAAUUUACCCUUUAUUUUUUAUAAUGAAGCUUUAGAAUCGAUGGUAAAUAUCACUAAAUAUGAUCUACAAAUUCAAAUCUUUUCGACAUUAAUGACUUAAUGAUCAAGAGUUGUAAAAUUUACAAUUUAAAUG
This 22289-nucleotide long non-coding RNA is filed under the name Ananas comosus (pineapple). RNAcentral describes it as "long non-coding RNA (ACOM_LNC031933)". Lineage: Eukaryota; Viridiplantae; Streptophyta; Magnoliopsida; Poales; Bromeliaceae. The record is from RNAcentral.